UCGCUUGGAUCCACGUUCGGAUGGACUGAGACGGAAUG
RNAcentral lists this non-coding RNA (38 nucleotides) under Syntrophus aciditrophicus SB. The record is from RNAcentral. Lineage: Bacteria; Pseudomonadati; Thermodesulfobacteriota; Syntrophia; Syntrophales; Syntrophaceae.